Molecule: ribosomal RNA, 771 nt
Filed under: uncultured Neocallimastigales
Lineage: Eukaryota; Fungi; Neocallimastigomycota; Neocallimastigomycetes; Neocallimastigales
Description: partial large subunit ribosomal RNA
Rfam family: Eukaryotic large subunit ribosomal RNA
Source: RNAcentral
GUAGUCUCGCACAGAUGCAUAUCAAUAAGCGGAGGAAAAGAAACUAACAAGGAUUCCCUCAGUAACGGCGAGUGAAGCGGGAAGAGCUCAAAUUUGAAAUCUUGAAAGGUCACCUUUCACGAAUUGUAGUUUAAAGAAGUGUUUUCUGUUACGAUCGUAAUAUAAGUUCUUUGGAAUAGGACAUCACAGAGGGUGAGAAUCCCGUCUAUGAUUGCGAUUUGUAGCUUUGUGAUACACUUUCAAAGAGUCGGGUUGUUUGGGAAUGCAGCCCAAAACGGGAGGUAAAUUUCUUCUAAGGCUAAAUAUUGGCGAGAGACCGAUAGCGAACAAGUACCGUGAGGGAAAGAUGAAAAGAACUUUGAAAAGAGAGUUAAAUAGUACGUGAAAUUGUCAAAAGGGAAGCGUUUAACACCAGUGUUGUUUUCUGAAAAUCAACCUCUGUUAGCUUUAUGCAUGUUUGUUUAGACCUAAUCAGCUAUCUUGCAUGUUCUAUUGUUUGCAGUGGUGCACUUUUCAGUUUACAGGUCAACAUCAGUUUUUUUUACUGUAAAAAAGUUAAAGAAAGGUAGCUCAUGGCUCCGGUCGUGAGUGUUAUAGUCUUUUUCCUAUGCGGUAGGAGAGACUGAGGUCUGCAGUGUAGGCUAUUUGGCUAGAUACUCAGGUGCUAUGUGAUACCAUUUCAUAAACAACUUGUUGAUUAUGUUUUGUCUAUUGCAUACUCGCUUGUACUAUCAUACCUACGCUUAGGAUGUUGAGUCGUAGAGCACGCAG